AUAAAAGGCUCCGACAAACAAGAGAGAGGUGACCUAUAGUGACAAAAUGCAUUCUUCUCCAUUUCCUGCGUUUUUACGGGCUGCGCUUGAGUUUCAAAUGGAACAGCUGUAUGAAUGCCAGCUCCGGCACUUCCGCUCUGCUCCUAAGUCUCUCUUUCUGUUCUCCAGGUGACCGUUUUGUUGCCCCACCACCUUUCCUGUGCCAAAAAUGCCAACUGUAACAACAAAGAGUGGCAGAUGCCAAGGGAAUCCCAGACGAAUGACCUCCGUGAAGUCGGCCUACCAAAGAGAAGCAAAUAUUUACCCUGCGUGUUUGAACCCAUGGCGCGGUGCCACGGCUGCCCCUCAGAGCACAUACCGGCCCGAUAGGCUUACUCGUACUCUAACUUUACUCCCUGGGAUCCCUGGGUCCAUCCUAUAUGACGCCAGAUAAAGUCCUGUUGAUUUUCGACCAACAAAUCGUAGAGAGAAACAUGUCAGAAAGGGGUCCAGCACAUCCCAGAGCUCAGCCGCCCUGAGACUGAAGUCUCCUUACGGGACACUGACUUCAAAGUCCAUUUUGGAAGGACUGAUCUGAAGAACGCGAACCGGUCUCUGAUAACCAACAGAGCAGUCGGGAUCAGUGGAGAAGCCACCAAAUGAGAUCUCCUGGGCAUCAAACACACACAAUACAUAAAAUAUGUGCAUAUCAUAUUAAUGUGCUGUUCUAUUCUUCUGUUGAGGUGAAGCUGGUUGGAAUAUGCUGACUGUCUUGACUGUGCAUGAUUUACUCGUCUGUCAUCGCAGAACAAUUUUACACGGAAAACACAUAUUGGCUCCGGUUUUGCUUGAAUCUUUGACUCUCCUCUCGAAAGAGUUUGCAGGUCAUACCAGGAUGCAAAACUGCAUAUCUGACCCACCUGUGCACUCGAUGGCCCCAUAACCCAUCAUCCUCCAUCAGAUUAGCAUGUCCACUCCAAGAAAUGAGCUCUCAAAUCAGCAUGUAAUCCCUCAGGAGAACAACAACAACUGCAACAGUAGGACAGAUGUUCAAGAUCUUAACCUGGGACAAGAAAACGCCUUGAUGCUGUGUGUCAGCCAACAUUUGAAAAAGCAAAAAAUUCAGACUUAAUCUGAUAAAAGGGGCCAGAAUAGGUGCGGCACAAAUUGAGAAACUCUGAUAAACUUUAAAAUGUCUGUCUGCAUUAGGGUAUUGUCCUUUAAUCUGACUCCCACCGUGCUGGAUUGUAAUCCCUGUGUCCUGUAGGAGCAAUCGUCUACUACAUGAUGGAGAAGGGGAGGUUAAGAGGGAAAAUGGAGAUGCGAACAAUGUGUUAAGCUCUGUCAAAAAAAGAGGAUUGCAGCGGAUAUGGAAUCAAUCACUAGAGCUACUGACUUUAUGGCUCUACUAAGCUUGUUCCACUAGAUAGACAGGUGGGUUUUUUUCAGAACAGUGAUCCGGGGUGAAAUGUUUGAAAAAUUCUUCAAUGGUAAACAAAAAGUAACUUUUUUCCUGAAAUAUUCCACAUCAAGCUCCAUGUCGAAAAUGCAUGACUCCAGGAGUUGGCAUGCAGCAGCGGUUCCAGCCUGCUCAGCCCACGCCGUCUCUAAAGACCCUUAAACCAAAGCAAACGUUUCAACAACAUUUCCAUCCAUUCCUGCUCUAACAGUGUGAUGAGAGCAGGUUAAAGCUGUAAGCCAUCAAAGUCUGCCGAGCAGCGUGCCCUGUUUGAAACUCAUCUGGAUCCCCCAUAAACACUCGGCUGCUAAUUGGCUGCACAUGUGGCGCUGAGUGCAUUUUAGCAUGCGUUAGUGUGUGUGUGUCGCAGCGUUAGAAUGUGCAUGCGUGUGUUGGCAUACAACAUGGCUUAUCAGUCUGAUCAAAGACAGCCUUUCCUUAAACUGUCUGCAAUAUGAAAGGCGCACAAAGGCAGGAAUAGCUUCAUGGUAAAUAUCUGAUCCGGAGAGUAAUUGGUACCUGUCUCGGAGAUCUGGCUCUUUGAUCGACACUCCUUUCCUCUUCCGUAGUUUAAAUGUGGAAAUAUAUUUAUUGGUGGCUCCCCCACAUCCGAUUGUCGCACGCCAUCUGGGCAGGGUGCUAAAAGAUGCUCGCCGCCAAACGUGCUCUCUGAGCUCACGAAACUGUCCUCGCUUCUUGUCACACUGCAUAUCAGAAAUACCUGAGAAGAAAGACACAAUUUCAUUAUUAGUAAUAAUUUCUAUGAUUAUAACCAAAAAAAUAUUAAAGACAUAAAUUACUAGAUGGCUCCUUUUAUAGAUGAUAUAUUGUUGCACAAACAAGCAAAGAGUUCAUUUGCACUUUGUCGAUCAUUUUGGUAGUAGUAGCUGUCUAUAGGAGGGUCAGAGACCUCUCGGAUUUCGUCAGAAAUAUCUUAAAUUGUGUUCCGAAGAUGAACAAAGGUCUUACGGGUUUGGAACAACGUGAGGGUGAGUAAUUAAUGACAGAAUUUUCAUUUUUGGGUGAACUAACCCUUUAAUCUCUUUUAAUGUUGUUUUUGCAAACAAACUCUUCAAAUAUUGCUACUAGUGUUGUCAAAAGAAUGAAUUUAAAUUAUUGCAAAAAUUAUUGCAUUAAUCAUAUUUAAUUAACUGAAGAAUUCAAUCUUGAAUUAGGCCUACUUCAAUGUAGUUCUGGGCCAUAUAUACGGUAUAAAUUUAUUGGUACAAGUGGCUAAGCAACGUAGACAUUGCCUUGAAUCUAGAAGAAAUCCUUGUUAACUGCAUGCAUACACUUCUUACUAAUGGUUAGAGAACUAUUAAUAACACAGAACUAAUUCUUUAACUGGGCAAAUAAAGCAACUGUAAACGGCUGUUAAUAGAAAUCAGCAGCAGGCAGAGCAAAAUCACUGUUCACAGUGUUGGAAGAAAAUCCUAAAUACUGAAUUAGGGGUUUAUAUAAAUGUAUCUCUAAGGGGAACUGACUGUCUUCAGGACAUUUUAGAUUCAUCUUAUCUCCAUAAUGCCUUAUGUAGCAUUUAAAUGCAGCGCUGCUGUGUUUACAACAGUAAUCAAGGAAACACAGUAUUACUGCUGUUCCAUGAGCGCCACCUGCUGAAAAUAAAAAUGAAUUUGCAUUCUUG
This is a long non-coding RNA of Labeo rohita (rohu), 3080 nucleotides long. RefSeq lists it as uncharacterized. Lineage: Eukaryota; Metazoa; Chordata; Actinopteri; Cypriniformes; Cyprinidae. The record is from RefSeq and is a predicted model, not a curated record. The transcript has 2 exons.